This 8293-nucleotide long non-coding RNA is filed under the name Hordeum vulgare. RNAcentral describes it as "long non-coding RNA (HVUL_LNC001161)". Lineage: Eukaryota; Viridiplantae; Streptophyta; Magnoliopsida; Poales; Poaceae. The record is from RNAcentral.
CUUCUUCUUCUUUUUUCUCCUCCUACUCCCCUCCUCUUUUUCUCCUCCUAUUCUUUUUCUUUUUCUUUUUCUUGUUCUUGUUCUUGUUCUUGUUCUUGUUCUUGUUCUUGUUCUUGUUCUUCUUCUUCUUCUUCUUCUUCUUCUUGUUCCUCUUGUUCUUCUUGUUCUUCUUCUUCUUCUUUCUCCUCCUCUUCCUCCUCCUCCUCCUCCUCUUCUUCUUCUUCUUCUUCCUCUUCUUCUUCUUCUUCUUCUUCUUCUUCCUCUUCUUCUUCUUUUUUCUCCUCCUCCUCCUCCUGUUCUUCUUCUUUUUCUUCUUCUUCUUCUUCUCCUUCUUCUUUUCUUUCUUCUUCUAAUUAUUUUCUUCUUUUCCUUUUUCUUUUUCAUUUUUUUCCUUCUGCUUUUCCUCUUUUUUUCUUCUAACCUAACUAACUAACCUAAUUAGCCUAAUAAUCUAACCAAAUAAACUAACUAAAUUACCUUAUAAUAAUAAAAAACUAACCUAAUAAACUAACUAAAGUAAUUAAAUUUUUUAAAAAGAAAAAGAAGAAGAACUCAACUCACCGUGGUGGACGACGGCAGGGGGGCAGGGGGCGCGCGGGGAGGAGGGCGCGGGGAGGAGGGCGCGAGCGGGCGCGGGGAGGAGGGCGCGGGGAGGAGGCGGUGGGGAGGAGGGCGCGGGGAGGAGGCCGCGGGGAGGAGGCGGCGGGAGGGGAGGUGGUCAGCGAGCGGGGAGGAGGGGUGCCGCGGGAGGGGAGGAGGGGGCGGGGGAGGAGGCGGCCGACGGGAGGGGAGGCGGCCGGCCGGCGGGGGACGAGCGGCUGAGAGUAACUGUCGGAGCGGAGGAGACUGUCGGAGCGGAUGAGAGUGAGAGGGAGAGGGAGACGGCCGUUAGGGGGGGCUUGCUUUGCCGUCCACCCCCCGGCGGCAAAGAGAGGAGGGCAGACGACAAAGGGAGCGCCCGUUAUGGGGUGGGAGGGUGUGUACGGUGGCACCCCCUUUGCCGUAUGCCAACCCUUUGUCGUCCGCCUGUGCUUCCUUUGCCGUCUGCUCGCCGACGGCAAAGAAUUUUUUUGCCUUAUGUGUUCUCUUUGCCGUUUGCUUUGCGCCAGCUGAUGGGAAAGAAGAUCUUUUCCAUGUGUCAGCAGACGGCAAAGGAAAGGCAGACGGAAAAUUUGUGAAUUCCAGUAGUGUUGGUAGGUGAAUGAAGGAAUUGGCACACUUUAUUGACAGCAAACGAGAUAUCAGGUCUUGUAAGUGUCAAAUAUUGAAGUGCACCAACUAGGCUCUUGUAUUUUGUGCCAUCAUCUGGACUUAAAGGUUUUCCCUCUGUAAGAGACAAUUUAUCUCAACUAGACAGAGGAGUAGGUGCAGGUUUGCAGCCCUGCAGGCGAGCCUUUCUUACCAAGUCAGUUGCAUACUUUUCUUGAGAGAGAUGGAGUCCAUUCUUGUGCUUUUUUACUUCAAUCCCUAAAAAAUAAUGCAAAUCUCCAAGGUCCUUGAGAGCAAAUUCAGAACCCAAAUCUUUUAACAAUCCUGUUAUUGCUUUAUGAGAAGAGCUUGUGACAAUAAUAUCAUCUACAUAAAUAAGCACAUAGACCAAGGUGUUGAACUUAUUGUAGAUGAAUAGUGAGGUGUCAGAUUUUGAAGGAACAAAACCAAGAGUUUGGAUUUUCUUGCUGAGACGAGAAUACCAUGCUCUUGGGGCUUGCUUCAACCCAUACAGAGCCUUAUCAAGUCUGCAUACAUGAGAGGGUGUAUGGUUGUUCUCAAACCCAGGUGGUUGUCUCAUAUAUACCUCCUCUUCCAGAACACCAUGAAGAAACGCGUUCUGUACGUCUAGCUGUCGAAGGCUCCACCCCCUGGAGACAACAAUAGACAAAACAAGGCGAAUGGUGGCAGCUUUUACAACUGGACUAAAGGUGUCCUCGCAGUCAAUACCAUAUCGUUGCUUAAACCCUUUUGCCACUAGUCUAGCCUUGUAGUGGUCAAUCUUUCCAUCAGAUUUCCUCUUGAUCCUAAAUACCCAUUUGCAGUCAAUCAGAUUUUUACCUUGAUGUGGAGGAGCCAAGUGCCAAGUUUUAUUUUUCUGAAGAGCCAUAUAUUCUUCAUAAAGUGCCUUCCUCCACUUUUCAUCCCCAAGAGCUUCGGCAAGUGUAUGAGGCUCACCAGGUUCACCUAUAGAACAGACCAAGUCAUAUUUGGUUAUGUGUUUAUAAUUUACAGGUGCAGUUACCCCUUUUUGAAGCCUUGUACGUCGCUGUGCUUGGUCAGGCUGCUGGAUUUCGGUGCCAGGAGGCGAGCUAGACUCUGUACCAGGUUCACCUGCACCUCCUGCUGCUGCUGAAUUGCGGUGCAUAUCUUGUGUGACCGGCUGUAGUUGUUCGUUUGCCACAUAAGAUCGCAGCCGACCAGGAGUGACGACGUUGGAGUUGGAGUCCUGUUCUGUGCCUGCUGCAUGGCUCCCACGCCGCCGCUUGUACACCACUUGUUGGUUGGAGAAGCGCAUGUUGCUGCGAUUGGGGGCAGACUGCAGCACGUCAGGAUCCACUAGUCCUGUGGCGGGAUCAGCAGCAGUAGCAGCAGCUAGCGCACUGGCUGCGACAGGGACAGGGGCGACCAACUCUGGUUGAGCAAGUCCCGAGGAGGAUAUGCUCCCGCUGCCAUGACACAUAUGAUAAUGAGUGUCAUUUGUAUUGGGCUCGUCUACUGCAGCUUCUUCAUCAUUUUCACAAGUUCGUGUUUCAUGACAAUGCUCAUGCAAACGAUUAGAAGAGUUAGUAAACAUGUGAUCAUCGCAGGUAUUAGUUCCCCCUUGAUCAGGACUAACUAAAUGAGAUGGCAAAAGAAGAAUCUCUUGGCGAAGCACGACACCCGCAUUGGGAUGGAGAUCAGCAAAGGGGAAUUUAGUCUCAUCAAACACAACAUCACGAGAGAUGUACACACGGCCAGUUGCAACAUCAAGACAUUUUACACCUUUAUGCUGAGUACUAUACACAAGAAAGACACAUUGUGGUGAGGGGAACAUGAGUUUGCGUUUGUUAUAGGGACGGAGAUUGGGCCAACAAGCGCAACCAAAAACCCGUAGAGAUGUGUAAUUUGGUUUGGUGUGGAUAAGUCUUUCAAUAGGAGUGUCAUUGGCAAUGACACGGCUGGGAAGCAUGUUGAUAAUAUGGACUGCAGCAAGGAAUGCUUCAUCCCAAAAUUUUAGGGGCAUGGAAGCACCAGCUAAUAAGGCAAGACCAUCCUCAACAAUGUGUCGAUACAUGCUUUCAGCAGAGGCGUUUUGUUGGUGAGCGUGGGGGCAUGACACAUGGUGUGAUACACCAAGUGUUUGGAAGAAAGAGUUUAAUUUUUCAUACUCUCCUCCCCAAUCGGAUUGGACAACAAGAAUCUUGCUUUCAAAUUGUCUUUCAACGAGUGCUUGGAAGUUUUUAAACACUUGAAAUACAUCGGAUCUUUUCUUGAGGAGAUAGAUCCACGAGAAUUUGCUAUAGUCGUCAAUGAAGCUCACAUAAUAUGUAUGUCUAUUAACUGAACUAGGGGCAGGACCCCAGACAUCAGAAAAGAUUAACUGCAAUGGUUUAGUAGAGACACUUAUGGAGAUAGGGUAAGGUAAUUGAUUAAUUUUUGCUCUUUGGCAGGAAUCACAAAUAGUUUCAACAUUAUGCUCACCAACAAACGGGAGUUUAUUCUUUCUAAGAAAACAUUCUACUAAGGAAAAAGAAGCAUGCCCUAGACGAUCAUGCCACCGUGUGGCGGAAAGCUUGAUAGCUCCACAAGCUUGUUUAUUGAGUCUUCUAAGCUCCGGAAUCAACGAGUAAAGACCUCGAAUGCAUCUACCUUGAUAGAGUGUUUUCUCCGUGGCCUGAUCCUUAAUCAAAAAGAAGAAAGGAUGAAACUCAAUAUAGACGUGAUUGUCAAGGGUAAUUCUAUGAACAGAUAAAAGAUUUUUGUUGGCUCUAGGAAGAUGUAGAAUUUUCCUGAGAUGAAUGCUACGAUGUGGGGUAGUAAUAACUGAAUGACCAAUGUGACGUAUCUUCAUACCUCCACCAAUUGCGGUGUGAAUCUGGUCCUUGCCAUUGUAUUUCUCCCGGAGGGUUACUUUUUCUAGCUCGCCGAUGAGAUAAUUUGUAGCACCGCUGUCAAGAUACCAAUUGGUAUCAACACCAUAUGAGCCGUCGGCAGCAGCAUCUACCUUUUCAUCAUCUUCAGAGGCAGCUUCAUCUUCUUCGAAUCUGGACGAGCAGUCCUUUGCGGAGUGACCUGGUUUGCCACAGAUUUGGCAGCGAACAACAUCGGGACGACCCUGAUUGUUGGACCCGCCACGACGACCCCGAUUGUUGUUGGAGGCAGGGUGACCGUUGCGGGAGUUGUAGCCGCCGUUGUUUCCACCACCUCCUUGCUUGCCUUUGGAGCGAGGAGAACCACGGCCACGAGAGUAGCCGCCAUGCCGACGUGCAACAACAUUGGCAAAGGACUUGAAACCUCCUGAUCCCUAGUACCGCGCUACCCUUUGAUCAAAGUUACUUAACAUUGAGAAAAUUUCAUCAAUGGAUACCGGGGUAGUGCGAGCAUCAAGGGCGGAGACGAGGGGCUGAUAGUCCAUGUCGAGGCCGUGGAGGAUGUAGGAGAUGAGCUCGUCGUCCUGGAGGGGCUUCCCGGCGGCGGCAAGUUCAUCAGCGAAGCCGCGCAUCUCGGCGAAGUAGGUGUCAACGGUCUUGUUGCCCUUCUGGGCAUUCACCAGGGAGGUUAUGAUGUUGUUGACACGGCUGAGCGACUGCGAGGAAAACAUACCUGGCAGCGCCAUCCAAAGCUCAUGUGACGUGGUGAUCGUAGUCACCUGCACGAGCACCUCCUUGGUGAGAUUGUUUAGCAUGUACCCAAGUACCUGUUGGUCCUCUCGCACCCAGAUGGGAUGGAGACGGUUUGGCUCAAUGGAUUCCUUCGCAUCCUUGUCCUUGGAGGAGAGGAUCCUGGCCGGCUCCGGUACAGCGCCGUCGACAUAGCCGAAGACGCCUGCUCCUCUUAGCUGCGACGUGAUAUUUUUUUCAAUUAUAGCACUACCGUGUAUAGGAGAAGAUAGAUGGCUGGAAAUAUCAAUCGAUGGGAGCACGUCUGAAGCUAUACGUGGUGAAGAGAUUCGAAAAUCUACAUCCACGGCUGACAUGUGAAAAUCAUCCAAAUUGUGAUCUGCGUCUCCUCUAAGUAUAUUGUCCAGAUAUGUGUGUGCGAUGGGCGGAAAGCAUCAUACCUUCUCAGGUGACGCCGUGCGUGUUAAUAUAGCAGGGGCGCACCUCCCUGAUAGCGUAUACAAGUCGGUAGUUACAAGAGAUAACAACCUUGGAGAAUAAGUUAAGAUAGAGGUCUAAGAUAGAGAUAAGAUAUCCUCUAGUAUCCUAACUAACUAACUACCAAAUCAGUCUUAUACCUUAUACCGGUCGGUCUCCUGGGUAUAACUGAAACCUAUACCGACAUCUAUCUAUGUGUUUUACAAUGUGCAACUGAGAUCAUCAUGUACGUACAAAGGGCCAUUUACUUUUAUAGGACUGGAAGUAUUGUCAUCGUUGGCAAAAUCAAGUUUUCUUUUAGAAAUAGGCCUUGCCUCCUCAUCAGAAGAAAUAACUUCAUUGGUACAUGGUUCCUUUGGCUUAGUAAUUGAAAGGUUAACACCAACUGGCAUAUCCGUUGGAGUCAAGGGAUUAGAGGAAGAGCCAAUGACAACAUCUUUAUCUUUCCGCUUCUGUAAAAUAUUGACAUAUAUGUAUUAUAUGAAGAAAGAAGUAAAUUAUGGAAGUAAACAAAAUGAAGCAAAGAUUUUUAACUCACACGUUGAGGGGCCAUAGAAGGUUCAUCGUCUGAAAGGAGGGUAGCUAAAAUAGGAUUCCAAUGAUCUUCUUGCUUUUUCUCCUUUGCGUCAAUGACAGCGAUAUAUUCCUCUUGACGGUCUGCUGGCACUUCUUUUAUUAUAACAAAAUCUGACUCGGAGAGCUCGCGAGGGACCAUAAAAGUUUUUUUCUUUUUCUUGAAUGCCUCUUUCCUAUCAGCAUAUGAUAUUCCCCCAUAUAGACUAUCAGACUUAAGGUCACCCAAAAUAAGAGCAAACGGUUGCGAAAACUUUUUCCACCAUCUAGUCCACGCCACAUCAAAUUUUUCCUCAUAAGUACUGUUGAGAGGAUGAUGAAUGCCCUCUUGAAUUGGGAUAAAUAAAUGCGACCAGUAUGUGUAUGCUACGCCAACAUCCGUUCCAGUCCAUAAAGAUUUCAAAGGAUUAAACGGUAUCUGUUGGUCUAACUUAAGCUGGCAAGCCACACAGUCUGGAUGGUAUGGCUCGACUACACAUCUACUACUGUUCUGAUAUAAGAACCUCCAUGGAAGAAUAGCCCAUUGGAUGGAAAUCUUGUAUGCCCUUUGUAGCGUAUCUACUCUCGAUAGGUUACGCGAGGAAUAAGGGCACCAAGCGAUUUUUUGAACAUUCUCAAGGUAUUCAUGAGCCAGCUCAGGCGUAAAUUCAAUUGGAGGCCUACGCAUUGUUUAUAGCAUGGUUGGUUGCAUAGGCAAGAUCCUAGGAGAGGGUAGAUGGUUCCCUUCACCUUUGGCCCAAACGUAUUCUUUAAAUAGAGAUACAUCCACCCUAUAAUAUAAUGGAUCGCCCAAGGCUGCUUGCAAAAUGUAGGCCCAACAGGAUGCCUACUGAUAGCCCGGAGAUAAAAAUACAAAGAGGAUAAUGCUGGCGGAGCGAGUGAAAUUUUUCGUCCUAUGGCGAUCCAAGACGCCAUGACAAGAACGCCCGAACGAAUGUAUUGUCCACCGCCGACAAUGACAAAACUACACAACCAUAUCGCAAUGAACGCUGCAAGAUACAUGCGACUGUCGCGCAUACUAGUGAAAUUUAAGGGUUUUUCACGUUGGUUGUGGAAAUGGUCACACCAAGCCUCGAAGGAUACCAAUUUUUCAUCACUUUUGCAAAAGAUUGGAUAAGAAGUUCGGGUACAAAAGCAAUUGAGGGUCUAAUUUAUUGAGUGGAGGAAUAUAUUCUUCAUAAAGAUCUCCGGCGAUAGGUUGCCCGGCCAUAAGAAGCAUGUCAAGUAAGGUGAUCGUACGUUCACCACACGAGAAUAGGAAAGUGUUUGUUUGGUGACUCCAUUUUUCUAAGAAAGGCUAAAGUAAAUUAGGGCAGACAUCAUAGUCACAGAGGGAGACAUAUAUAGCGUCGCAGAUAUAGUCUGUAUGGUCCUCACCCCCUUUCAGAUUAAAAGUGUGACGAUCAAUAACCUCAGCCCCCCAUUCAAUAUAACCAUUUGGCCGUCUGACAUGCGGGAUAUUAUGAUGCUCCCACCCUAACUGUCGUCACUCCAUUCUAGUCCCUAAAGCACAUUCUAAAUCAACUCUUGGCUGGGGCGCUGGCGGAUGAUAACUUAAAGCUUCAAAAAAAUUUUCAGAGUGUCACCCGAGUUCUGAAGGAUCCAAUCUUCCUACUCUUGCAGUUGACUUGCCAAGUUUAGGGUUAACUGAGUCAUCUGUUUUCUGGUUCACACAGACGCUUCUUAGCUAAUUCAGAUAAUUUGAGCUGAAAUGGCGAAAUGAUAAGUCCACCAAACUCCAUCUAAAUAUAUACAUUUUAAAUCAUUAAACCGCAAGGAGAUAAAAAAAAAUAUAGAGAGAAAGAAAGUUACAGUUAUAGUACCUAGGCCUUGCAAGCCACUACUUGCGUCGAAGGAUUCUUACUUCCGUGUAAAACAAAGAAACGAAAGAAAUGGUAAGAAACUAAAAAAAAGGUAGCAGCAGUAUUGCAAAUGUUUAAGUGACCGGUUGUACGAGGAACCGAGUUCAAAGAUAAAACUCGCUGGCACGUCAACCAUUAGAAAAUUCGCAUUUGUAACAUCACAGUUACUCCAUUCACAUGAAAUGAGUUUCUUUUUAAAAAAAUUGCCAAGAUCUCCCACACCAAUACUGGUACUCAGGCUGUACGGACGAAAUUAAAAAAAAACUCGCCGGCACGCUAACCACGAGAUAAUUUUAUUUCCUCUCUAAUAAAAAAAGGAACUAUCAUACAUACAUAUAUAUGCUCAUGGAUGUACGACGGACCAAGUCUAAAACUUGCCGGCACGUUAACCACGAGACCAUUUUAUUCUCUCCCUAAUCAUACAAAAUCAGACGUGAUAACACUAACAAAACUACCGUGUAGACGGUCCUAGUUUAACAAAAAAAAGAGAAUUAUAUUGACACUUUCUCUUUUAUCAUACGAAAUAAGAAAUAAAUUAAAAAAAACUANNAUAUAUAUAUAUAUAUAUGA